Molecule: ribosomal RNA, 708 nt
Filed under: Apilactobacillus kunkeei
Lineage: Bacteria; Bacillati; Bacillota; Bacilli; Lactobacillales; Lactobacillaceae
Description: bacterial SSU rRNA
Rfam family: Bacterial small subunit ribosomal RNA
Source: RNAcentral
UGGUCUGUUACUGACGCUGAGGCUCGAAAGCAUGGGUAGCGAACAGGAUUAGAUACCCUGGUAGUCCAUGCCGUAAACGAUGAAUACUAGGUGUUGGAGGGUUUCCGCCCUUCAGUGCCGCAGCUAACGCAUUAAGUAUUCCGCCUGGGGAGUACGACCGCAAGGUUGAAACUCAAAGGAAUUGACGGGGGCCCGCACAAGUGGUGGAGCAUGUGGUUUAAUUCGAUGCUACGCGAAGAACCUUACCAGCUCUUGACAUCUUCUGCCAACCCAAGAGAUUGGGCGUUCCCUUCGGGGACAGAAUGACAGGUGGUGCAUGGUUGUCGUCAGCUCGUGUCGUGAGAUGUUGGGUUAAGUCCCGCAACGAGCGCAACCCUUAUUAUUAGUUGCCAGCAUUUAGUUGGGCACUCUAGUGAGACUGCCGGUGAUAAACCGGAGGAAGGUGGGGACGACGUCAAAUCAUCAUGCCCCUUAUGAGCUGGGCUACACACGUGCUACAAUGGAUGGUACAACGAGUCGCGAAACCGCGAGGUCAAGCUAAUCUCUUAAAGCCAUUCUCAGUUCGGAUUGCAGGCUGCAACUCGCCUGCAUGAAGUUGGAAUCACUAGUAAUCGUGGAUCAGCAUGCCACGGUGAAUACGUUCCCGGGCCUUGUACACACCGCCCGUCACACCAUGAGAGUUUGUAACACCCAAAGACGAUGGGGUAA